GAGUUAAAUCAUGGCUCAGAUUAAACACCAACGGCGUGCCUAACACAUGCAAGUCGAGCGGUAACAGGUGUAGCGGGGGAUGCUGACGAGCGACAAAAAGGUGGGUGGCGCUUGGGNNUCUGCAAAACAGAAAAAGACAACCCGGGGAAACUCGGGCUAAUACCGCAUACGAUCUACGGAUGAAAGCCGGGGACCGCAAGGCCAAAAAAAGAUAGAUGAGCCCAAGUCGGAUUAGCUAGUUGGUAGGGUAACGGCCUACCAAGGCGACGAUCCGUAACUGGUCUGAGAGGACGACCAGUCACACCGGAACUGAGACACGGUCCGGACUCCUACGGGAGGCAGCAGUGGGGAAUAUUGGACAAUGGGGGCAACCCUGAUCCAGCGACGCCGCGUGGGUGAAGAAGGCCUGCGGGUUGUAAAGCCCUUUUGGAGGGGAAGAAAAGUUGCGACCUAACACGUUGCGACCUUUAAGUGACCCACUAAAGAAGCACCGGCUAACUCUGUGCCAGCAGCCGCGGUACAAGGGCGA
This 529-nucleotide ribosomal RNA is filed under the name uncultured Gammaproteobacteria bacterium. RNAcentral's name for it is "bacterial SSU rRNA". It matches the Rfam family "Bacterial small subunit ribosomal RNA", at positions 9 to 533 of the family's 1533-position model. The record is from RNAcentral. Lineage: Bacteria; Pseudomonadati; Pseudomonadota; Gammaproteobacteria.